Molecule: unclassified non-coding RNA, 391 nt
Filed under: soil metagenome
Description: partial contains 5.8S ribosomal RNA, internal transcribed spacer 2, and large subunit ribosomal RNA
Rfam family: 5.8S ribosomal RNA (bases 1-122)
Source: RNAcentral
GAUGAAGAACGCAGCGAAAUGCGAUACUUGGUGUGAAUUGCAAAAUCCCGUGAACCAUCGAGUCUUUGAACGCAAGUUGCGCCCGAAGCCAUUAGGCCGAGGGCACGCCUGCCUGGGCGUCACACGUCGUUGCCCCCCCAUCUACUCCUUCGGGAUUGCGGGGGGCGGAUGAUGGCCUCCCGUGCGCCUCGUCGCGCGGUUGGCAUAAAUGCCAAGUCCUCGGCGACGCACGCCACGACAGUCGGUGGUUGCGAAACCUCGGUUGCCCGUCGUGUGCGGUCGUCGCGCAUCGAGGGCUCGAAAAAAUUGCCGGGCUCCGGCUCGGCUUUCAACGCGACCCCAGGUCAGGCGGGGUUACCCGCUGAAUUUAAGCAUAUCAAUAAGCGGAGGA